UUUUUUUUUUUUUUUUUUUUUGCUCUUUUUCUUUCAGGGAAAAGUUUUACUGAGGAAUCGCUCUUAAAUUUGAAAGCAUAGCACAUUCAAUUGGUUUUCUUCAGAAGCACGCGUCAAGCAAGCAGCAACAGCACAGCGCAGCCAAACAGCCUUCCAAGCAACCAGGGCCGCUACUUUGCUGUUGAGGAGGAGGCUGAGCGUACUGAGGAGCGUAAGGCGGAGGAUAUCCCUGCGGCGGAUAAGCACCAGGAGGAGGAUAGCCCUGCGGAGGGUAUCCCGGCGGCGGAUAAGCAUCCUUCGGAUAACCUUCCGGUGGAUAACCUUGAGGUGGAGGCACUCCAAUCGGAGGCUGACCUUGAUUAUAAUAACUCAUCCCUUGUUCUUCCUGUUCAAAUCAACAACAGAUCUCCCUUCUGAACACAAGGAAAACCAAUUUCAAUCCCGUCGAUAAAAGCGGCCGGAAUUCAGAGAAACAAAAGAAAAAGUGAAGAGAGAGAAGGAGAAAGAGUCAAUGGAGAAGACAGCGAAGGUGUAGAAUGGACAGAGAAGAAGAGUGGGAUGUGAAGGAUUUAUAUAUAUAAUCCGAAAACAGAGCUGAGAUUACCGAGAGAGAAGGUUGUGUUUGUUUGCG
RNAcentral lists this unclassified non-coding RNA (631 nucleotides) under Hevea brasiliensis (rubber tree). The record is from RNAcentral. Lineage: Eukaryota; Viridiplantae; Streptophyta; Magnoliopsida; Malpighiales; Euphorbiaceae.